CCUACGGGAGACAGCAGUAGGGAAUAUUGCUCAAUGGGGGAAACCCUGAAGCAGCCACGCCGCGUGGAGGAUGAAGGUUCUCGGAUUGUAAACUCCUUUUGUUAGAGAAGCUAAUGACGCUAUCUGACGAAUAAGCACCGGCUAACUCCGUGCAAGCAGCCGCUGUAAUACGGAGGGUGCAGGCGUUACUCGGAAUCACUGGGCGGAAAGAGGGCGUAGGCGGGAUAGCAAGUCAGAUGUGAAAACCGUGGGGUUAACCAUAGAACUGCAUUUGAAACUGGUAGUCUAGAGUAUGGGAGAGGUAGGUGGAAUGCUUGGUGUAGGGGUAAAAUCCGUAGAGAUCACGAAGAAUACUCAUUGCGAAGGCGACCUGCUAGAGCAUAACUGACGCUGAUGCGCGAAAGCGUGGGGAGCAAACAGGAUUAGAUACCCGAGUAGUC
Molecule: ribosomal RNA, 440 nt
Filed under: uncultured bacterium
Lineage: Bacteria
Description: partial 16S ribosomal RNA
Rfam family: Bacterial small subunit ribosomal RNA
Source: RNAcentral